RNAcentral lists this unclassified non-coding RNA (324 nucleotides) under Hevea brasiliensis (rubber tree). Lineage: Eukaryota; Viridiplantae; Streptophyta; Magnoliopsida; Malpighiales; Euphorbiaceae. The record is from RNAcentral.
CAAAUUCUCCAAAAACUGUGCCAAAAAAAGAGAAAAUAAAAUCAUUAUGCAGGUGAAAGAAAUUUCAGUCAAUUAAUAAGAAGAGGCUGCAGUCUUUAAGAGGGAAAGCUAAAAGUAAGCAAUAGAGAGACUCCUGUGCCAUGCUUUUCCUCCCUUUCUAUUAUUGGAUCAUUGAAAUUCUUUUGGUAUGCAAUCUAGCCUGGUCAAGAGUGCAACUGAGUAGGAAAUACAUAUUGUGAAUUGAUUUUUCUGUUAUGCAUAGAAGAGGAUAGGCCAAGAGAGAGAGAAAGAAACGAUUACCAGUAUCUGAAUCAUGAGGCCCGG